UAUGAGUUAUAUACAUUGCUUGUAUUCAAUGGCCAAUGUUAUCCCCACUCAGACAUUUCGAUAAGCCAAUCCAGUUUUAAAUGAUCAACAAAUACAUGAAGAACAUAUGUUGCCCUUUCCUACGGAUCUUACCCAAACAACACAAUGGAUGCAAUGCAAACUAGAGAUGGUAUUGAUGAUACUAUAAUGGAGGAUCGUGGUCAAUAUUUUCCUGGAUAACCAUUAUGGUGUAUGAUACUUUAUUGUAAUGGAUUAUUUAUUGAGUGUGUAAACUCUAUUUAGAAAUUGGAUCUUGGAUGGAGUGGCUUGUUUUUUCAAGAUAUAGACAUUAUUUGCAUACUAUAUUUUUGAGUUGGACUACUAUUGUGUAUGUGAGAAAUUGGCUAAAUCCAUUAUGAAUUUUAUUCAUUUUAUGCCAUUAGC
This is a long non-coding RNA of Cryptomeria japonica (Japanese cedar), 423 nucleotides long. RefSeq lists it as uncharacterized. The record is from RefSeq and is a predicted model, not a curated record. The transcript has 3 exons. NCBI's taxonomy places the organism in Eukaryota, Viridiplantae, Streptophyta, Pinopsida, Cupressales, Cupressaceae.